AGGAGUGUAGUUCAAUGGUAGAACAUUAGUCUCCAAAACUAAGUGCUGUGGGUUCGAUUCCUAUCACUCCUGCCA
Molecule: transfer RNA, 75 nt
Filed under: Spiroplasma sp. TIUS-1
Lineage: Bacteria; Bacillati; Mycoplasmatota; Mollicutes; Entomoplasmatales; Spiroplasmataceae
Description: tRNA-Trp
Rfam family: tRNA
About the family: Transfer RNA (tRNA) molecules are approximately 80 nucleotides in length.
Source: RNAcentral